Molecule: ribosomal RNA, 332 nt
Filed under: uncultured bacterium
Lineage: Bacteria
Description: bacterial SSU rRNA
Rfam family: Bacterial small subunit ribosomal RNA
Source: RNAcentral
CGCGUAGGCGGUUUGCUAAGUUGAAUGUGAAAACUCUGGGCUUAACCCAGAGCCUGCAUUCAAUACUGGCGGGCUAGAGUUCUGGAGGGGAUAGCGGAAUUCCUGGUGUAGCGGUGAAAUGCGUAGAUAUCAGGAGGAACACCGGUGGCGAAGGCGGCUAUCUGGACAGAGUCUGACGCUGAGGCGCGAAAGCUAGGGGAGCAAACAGGAUUAGAUACCCUGGUAGUCCUAGCCCUAAACGAUGGAUACUUGCUGUGACUGGGAUUGAAUCCAGUCGUGGCGAAGCUAACGCAUUAAGUAUCCCGCCUGGGGAGUACGGUCGCAAGGCUGAA